This 953-nucleotide long non-coding RNA is filed under the name Coturnix japonica (Japanese quail). Its description in RNAcentral is "lncRNA (ENSCJPG00005004254.1)". The record is from RNAcentral. Lineage: Eukaryota; Metazoa; Chordata; Aves; Galliformes; Phasianidae.
CAGAGAGAGAUCUUAUUGAUGGUAACUCUCAGCCCAGCAGGGCCCUUAUAUUCCCUGGCUGAUGGAUGUUCCCCUUUGAUGCAGCACUCCAUGCUGCCAUGCAGGCGUUCAAUAAAGCUUUGGGGGGCUGACGAUCCAUCACAACAGCACAUCAGCUACAUGUUAGUCAAUUAACCUCCAUUUAAUUGGAAUUAGCUUUUGAGUUAAGUUCUGUUAACCAAAUUGGUUUAAGGUUUGCGUUCAGUUAACCUUACCCAAAUUGGUUUUAGAUUUGACAUCACACUUAAACAAAUUGGUUUUAGCUUAGUAAUCUAUUAACUUCACCCACAUUGGGUUUUGUUUUGUAAUCAUUUAACUGCAACUAAAUUGGUUUUUGAUUUGUUGUUAAUUAAUCUUAAUCAAAUUGGUUAUAGCUUUUUAAUUAAUUAUUUUAACAAAAUUGGCUUUAGCUUUCAAUCAGUCAUUGUUAAUCAAAUUGGCUUUAGUUUUGCCAUUUUAUUUUUAAUUAAAUUGGCUUUAGUUUUCUAAUCAUUUAAUGUUACUUAAAUUGGUUGUAGCUUUACAACCAUUUAAGUUUAAUCUAAUUGGCUGUAGCUUUGCAAUCUAUCUACCUUAAUUGAAUUGGCUUUAGCUUUGCAUUCAAUUGAUCUUAACCCAAUUGGCUUUAACUUUGCUAUUAUUUAACCUUAACCAAAUUGACUUGAGUUUUGCAAUCAUUUAAUGUUACUUAAAUUGGUUGUAGCUUUACAACCAUUUAAGUAUAAUCUAAUUGGCUGUAGCUUUGCAGUCUAUCUUAAUUGAAUUGGCUUUCGCUUUACAAUCAUUUAAUCCUAAACUAAUUGGCUUUAGCUUUGCAAUCAUUAAAUUUUAAACUAAUCCUCGCGCUCUCUCUUUCGUCUUCUUUAAUUGUCGCGCACCCGUCGACUCCAGUUGGCUGCACAAGUAACCCUUUC